GAUGAACGCUAGCGGCAGGCUUAAUACAUGCAAGUCGAGGGGUAGCAAGAUUGUAGCAAUACAAUUGUUGACGACCGGCAAACGGGUGCGGAACACGUACACAACCUUCCUACAAGUGGGGAAUAGCCCAGAGAAAUUUGGAUUAAUACCCCGUAACAUAGCGAUGUGGCAUCACAUUGCUAUUAUAGCUUCGGCGCUUGUUGAUGGGUGUGCGGCUGAUUAGAUAGUUGGCGGGGUAACGGCCCACCAAGUCUACGAUCAGUAGCGGAUGUGAGAGCAUGAUCAGCCACACGGGCACUGAGACACGGGCCCGACUCCUACGGGAGGCAGCAGUAAGGAAUAUUGGACAAUGGACGCAAGUCUGAUCCAGCCAUGCCGCGUGAAGGAUUAAGGUCCUCUGGAUUGUAAACUUCUUUUAUAAGGGACGAAAAAAGGUCUUUCUAGAUCGUCUGACGGUACCUUAUGAAUAAGCACCGGCUAACUCCGUGCCAGCCGCCGCAGUAAAAC
Molecule: ribosomal RNA, 507 nt
Filed under: uncultured bacterium
Lineage: Bacteria
Description: bacterial SSU rRNA
Rfam family: Bacterial small subunit ribosomal RNA
Source: RNAcentral